RNAcentral lists this unclassified non-coding RNA (206 nucleotides) under soil metagenome. RNAcentral's name for it is "partial contains 5.8S ribosomal RNA, internal transcribed spacer 2, and large subunit ribosomal RNA". The record is from RNAcentral.
AACACUGUUAACCUGCGGUACCUGCGGAAGGAUCAUUACCGAGUUUACAACUCCCAAACCCCUGUGAACAUACCUAUACGUUGCCUCGGCGGAUCAGCCCGCGCCCCGUAAAAAGGGACGGCCCGCCCGAGGACCCCUAAACUCUGUUUUUAGUGGAACUUCUGAGUAAAACAAACAAAUAAAUCAAAACUUUCAACAAUGGAUCU